This 609-nucleotide precursor RNA is filed under the name Oryza sativa Indica Group (long-grained rice). RNAcentral describes it as "putative precursor microRNA R167j". The stretch from base 212 to 340 matches the Rfam family "MIR167 microRNA precursor family". The record is from RNAcentral. RNAcentral also lists the same sequence under 1 other name. Lineage: Eukaryota; Viridiplantae; Streptophyta; Magnoliopsida; Poales; Poaceae.
GCUCAGCUCAUAUAGGACCACACCUUAGCUCUCGCUUUAGCACAUUUUAAAUCCUGCAAAAUUUUAGCUCCUCCCGUUUCAAACGAACUGUAAUAUAAUUUCUCUCGCUAGCUAUAUGCUUUCUUGCUAUAGCUUCUGCUCUAUAAAUAAGCUUACAUGCCCUAGCCCCUCUCUUCACUCUUCACCUCUCCAUUUAGCUUUGUGAUGUGUGCACCUUAAGCAGCUGAAGCUGCCAGCAUGAUCUGAUCUUUUGCGAUCUCUUUUUUUAUCUGAAUAAGUUGAUGGAAAUAUUGGGUUCCUAAGAUUCAGAUCGUGCUGCGCAGUUUCAUCUGCUAAUCGAUGCACUACACUGUGAAUUUCUUUCUAUCAUAUAUUACUAGAUAUUCAUUUCUAGAUCUUAUCUGAAGAUUAGACAGAAAAAACGCAAUAUAUAGAGUAGAUCCAGACAGAUCAGCUGUCUGAUCGAUCUUGCAUGCAAAAACCCGUGGAGAUUGAGAUCUAGACAGAUCGUACUUAUGCAUAUAUAUUGACUGUUGUAAUCUGCACAGGAGUCAUAUGCAUAUUGAUCGAUCAACCGAGGUAUGCAUGCAUAUAUAUGGUUUAUCUCUG